AGUCGAGCGGGGAAGGUAGCUUGCUACCUGACCUAGCGGCGGACGGGUGAGUAAUGCUUAGGAAUCUGCCUAUUAGUGGGGGACAACAUUCCGAAAGGAAUGCUAAUACCGCAUACGCCCUACGGGGGAAAGCAGGGGAUCUUCGGACCUUGCGCUAAUAGAUGAGCCUAAGUCAGAUUAGCUAGUUGGUGGGGUAAAGGCCUACCAAGGCGACGAUCUGUAGCGGGUCUGAGAGGAUGAUCCGCCACACUGGGACUGAGACACGGCCCAGACUCCUACGGGAGGCAGCAGUGGGGAAUAUUGGACAAUGGGCGAAAGCCUGAUCCAGCCACGCCGCGUGUGUGAAGAAGGCCUUUUGGUUGUAAAGCACUUUAAGCGAGGAGGAGGCUACUUAGAUUAAUACUCUAGGAUAGUGGACGUUACUCGCAGAAUAAGCACCGGCUAACUCUGUGCCAGCAGCCGCGGUAAUACAGAGGGUGCGAGCGUUAAUCGGAUUUACUGGGCGUAAAGCGUGCGUAGGCGGCUUUUUAAGUCGGAUGUGAAAUCCCUGAGCUUAACUUAGGAAUUGCAUUCGAUACUGGGAAGCUAGAGUAUGGGAGAGGAUGGUAGAAUUCCAGGUGUAGCGGUGAAAUGCGUAGAGAUCUGGAGGAAUACCGAUGGCGAAGGCAGCCAUCUGGCCUAAUACUGACGCUGAGAUACGAAAGCAUGGGGAGCAAACAGGAUUAGAUACCCUGGUAGUCCAUGCCGUAAACGAUGUCUACUAGCCGUUGGGGCCUUUGAGGCUUUAGUGGCGCAGCUAACGCGAUAGUAGACCGCCUGGGGAGUACGGUCGCAAGACUAAAACUCAGAUGAAUUGACGGGGG
RNAcentral lists this ribosomal RNA (863 nucleotides) under uncultured bacterium. RNAcentral's name for it is "bacterial SSU rRNA". It matches the Rfam family "Bacterial small subunit ribosomal RNA", at positions 60 to 919 of the family's 1533-position model. The record is from RNAcentral.